RNAcentral lists this ribosomal RNA (249 nucleotides) under uncultured bacterium. RNAcentral describes it as "partial 16S ribosomal RNA". It matches the Rfam family "Bacterial small subunit ribosomal RNA", at positions 102 to 353 of the family's 1533-position model. The record is from RNAcentral.
ACGGGUGAGUAAUGUCUGGGAAACUGCCUGAUGAGGGGGAUAACUACUGGAAACGGUAGCUAAUACCGCAUAACGUCGCAAGACCAAANAGGGGGACCUUCGGGCCUCUUGCCAUCAGAUGUGCCCAGAUGGGAUUAGCUAGUAGGUGGGGUAACGGCUCACCUAGGUGACGAUCCCUAGCUGGUCUGAGAGGAUGACCAGCCACACUGGAACUGAGACACGGUCCAGACUCCUACGGGAGGCAGCAUG